This is a non-coding RNA of Lupinus albus (white lupine), 362 nucleotides long. Lineage: Eukaryota; Viridiplantae; Streptophyta; Magnoliopsida; Fabales; Fabaceae. The record is from the annotation of a GenBank genome assembly.
CUUCAAUUCAGGCUUAUGUCUAGGCUUAUCACCAGGUCAAAAUAAUUUCACAAUAUUUCAGUCUAAACCAAACUUCUUUUUCAAAUAAAUGGUCUAAACACUUUGGUAAAUUACAUAAUGAACUAAACUUAUCAUAAGUUUCAUCGUCAAGAGGGAAGUAGCCCAGACCACCAGCUAAGGCCCCUAAAUGAUAGCUCGGUGAUAAAUGAGGUACGAGUGCAGAGACAGCCAAAAGGUUUACCUAGAAGCAGCCACCCUAGAAACAGUGUGUAAUAUCUCACUUUUGAGCGCUCUUGUGCCGAAGAUGAACAGGACUAAACGAUCUACCAAAGUUGUGGGAUGUAAAAAUUUAUCGGUAGGGG